UUCCAGCUGGUUUUGAGGAAGUGAGCUGCCAUGUACUAGGCCACGUGGCAAGGGCCUGGUUGGGGACCUCCAGGGGUUGAGAGCAUCCUCUGGACAACAUGGAAAAAGAAAAUGAAAAUGGUGACCUCAGCCCUAUAGCUAGAAGGAAUUGAAUCCUGUCAACAACGAUACUCAUCACUCACUGCAGAUGUUACUUUAAGACAUUCUGGAGCAGCGUCAUGUGCAGGAGAAAAUAGUAUCAUCUCAGCCUUCUAUGAAAUCAAGGCAAUAUUCAUGUGAAAGUAUAUUCCAAACCCAGAACCUGAGCACAGAUUGGGACUGAGAAACACUUGUCUAGAUUGUCAGGCAAUCUGUAACAUCAGCAGUGGAUGGAAAGAAGGAGAAAGAUGAGUUUUAUGGACGCUAACCCAUCUAUAUGGCUUUGGAAAAUAAAGUACUGCUGUUUUUUUU
Molecule: long non-coding RNA, 450 nt
Filed under: Homo sapiens (human)
Lineage: Eukaryota; Metazoa; Chordata; Mammalia; Primates; Hominidae
Description: HSALNT0325581
Source: RNAcentral